GGCGAGAUGGCCGAGCGGUCUAAGGCGCUGUGUUAAGGUUUUCAUCGACUGGUACCGCAGUCCGAAAGGGCGUGGGUUCGAAUCCCACUCUCGUCA
Microbotryomycetes sp. JL201 is the source of this 96-nucleotide non-coding RNA. Lineage: Eukaryota; Fungi; Basidiomycota; Microbotryomycetes. The record is from the annotation of a GenBank genome assembly.